RNAcentral lists this ribosomal RNA (639 nucleotides) under Debaryomyces hansenii. RNAcentral describes it as "eukaryotic LSU rRNA". The stretch from base 230 to 383 matches the Rfam family "5.8S ribosomal RNA". Lineage: Eukaryota; Fungi; Ascomycota; Pichiomycetes; Serinales; Debaryomycetaceae. The record is from RNAcentral.
CUCGGGGAGAACCUGCGGAAGGAUCAUUACAGUAUUCUUUUUGCCAGCGCUUAAUUGCGCGGCGAAAAAACCUUACACACAGUGUUUUUUGUUAUUACAAGAACUCUUGCUUUGGUCUGGACUAGAAAUAGUUUGGGCCAGAGGUUUACUAAACUAAACUUCAAUAUUUAUAUUGAAUUGUUAUUUAUUUUAAUUGUCAAUUUGUUGAUUAAAUUCAAAAAAUCUUCAAAACUUUCAACAACGGAUCUCUUGGUUCUCGCAUCGAUGAAGAACGCAGCGAAAUGCGAUAAGUAAUAUGAAUUGCAGAUUUUCGUGAAUCAUCGAAUCUUUGAACGCACAUUGCGCCCUUUGGUAUUCCAAAGGGCAUGCCUGUUUGAGCGUCAUUUCUCUCUCAAACCUUCGGGUUUGGUAUUGAGUGAUACUCUUAGUCGAACUAGGCGUUUGCUUGAAAUGUAUUGGCAUGAGUGGUACUGGAUAGUGCUAUAUGACUUUCAAUGUAUUAGGUUUAUCCAACUCGUUGAAUAGUUUAAUGGUAUAUUUCUCGGUAUUCUAGGCUCGGCCUUACAAUAUAACAAACAAGUUUGACCUCAAAUCAGGUAGGACUACCCGCUGAACUUAGCAUAUCAUAAGGGAGAAGAA